GGCUGUCGCUGACCUCUGUCAUGAGGUCGUGCACGCCCGAGGCGUCCUCGCACAAUCCAUCCCACACACCCCUUUGUGCAUCACCGCGUGAGCUCCUUUGGGUCGCUCCGAUCCGAGCGGGGCUUGCGCUUUUUACACAAACGUGCAGUGUAGAAUGUCCUAGCGAUUGUAUGCAAUCAAUACAACUUUCAACAACGGAUCUCUUGGCUCUCGCAUCGAUGAAGAACGCAGCGAAAUGCGAUACGUAAUGUGAAUUGCAGAAUUCAGUGAAUCAUCGAAUCUUUGAACGCACCUUGCGCCCCUUGGCAUUCCGAGGGGCACACCCGUUUGAGUGUCGUGAAUUUCUCAACCUUCUUGCUUUUCUUGAUAGCAGAAGGCUUGGACUUUGGAGGUUCUUGCUGGCCUCUCUCUCUCUUCAGAAGCCAGCUCCUCUUAAAUGGAUUAGCAGGGUCUGCCUUUGGGCCGAUCCUCGACGUGAUAAGCUGUUUCUACGUCUUGGAUUUGGCCCUGCCUCUCUUUUGAGAGACCUGCUUCUAAAAUCGUCUCGGUCGCCCUUUCUUCAUCGGAAAGAGGGGGUGGACUUUUGACCCACGAACCCAUUGACCUCAAAUCGGGUGAGACUACCCGCUGAACUUAAGCAUAUCAAUAAGCGGAGGA
Molecule: ribosomal RNA, 657 nt
Filed under: uncultured fungus
Lineage: Eukaryota; Fungi
Description: eukaryotic LSU rRNA
Rfam family: 5.8S ribosomal RNA (bases 184-337)
Source: RNAcentral